UACGGAGGGUGCAAGCGUUAAUCGGAAUUACUGGGCGUAAAGGGUGCGUAGGUGGUCUGAUAAGUUAUCUGUGAAAGCCCUGGGCUUAACCUAGGAAGGUCAGAUAAGACUGUUAGACUUUGAGUAUAGGAGAGGGUAGUGGAAUUUCCGGUGUAGCGGUGAAAUGCGUAGAGAUCGGAAGGAACACCAGUGGCGAAGGCGGCUACCUGGCCUAAUACUGACACUGAGGCACGAAAGCGUGGGGAGCAAACAGG
RNAcentral lists this ribosomal RNA (254 nucleotides) under uncultured bacterium. Its description in RNAcentral is "partial 16S ribosomal RNA". It matches the Rfam family "Bacterial small subunit ribosomal RNA", at positions 524 to 776 of the family's 1533-position model. The record is from RNAcentral.